Long non-coding RNA from Olea europaea var. sylvestris, 1416 nucleotides. RefSeq lists it as uncharacterized. The transcript is spliced from 3 exons. NCBI's taxonomy places the organism in Eukaryota, Viridiplantae, Streptophyta, Magnoliopsida, Lamiales, Oleaceae. The record is from RefSeq and is a predicted model, not a curated record.
ACAAAUGUCAGUUAUGCCAUCACCAUUUCAGCCUACCAAUAAUCUCACCUAACAACAAGACCAUACCGUUUGAGGAACUUGCAAUCGGAUCUCUUCACAUGGAAAUGGACGUUGUGUCCUACCACUCUAGUUUCAUCGUAGGGUGUUUUACCGACGGGAAAUUAGCUCUUCCACAAUCCUUGGGUUUUCAAUUAGCCAUCCGGCGAACACGUCACUCCAAGUCCUCUCCCAUCAUCCAUUCGACGCCGGGCUUUUCCCCUCCUUUAAAUCGAUAGUCUUGCACCACACGUUCAUCGGAUAGAAUGGAAAAUUACGGACCACAGUAGAACUAUUCCUCGAACACCUGAUCUGAUGCACUUUGCGCCAUCCAACCCUCAAGAUCCACAACCAACGGUGCGAAAGUCUGGGAAAUGGAACUCGUCGGAGUGCAAGGUAGUCAUUGCCACUUGCAAAACUGUAAUUGUCAAAGGCCGCCGACAAGACAAAUGCUUCUCCACAAAAGGAUGAUAAAGUAUCGCAAAAAUGUUUAACAAGUCAUUUGGAAAAAACUGGACUAUAUCGCAAAUGAAGAACUCCUAUUUGAACUGUUGCAAUGCACAAGAAUUGAGUACCUCUCAAGGACCAAUACAAUCGUCGCCCCUGAGCAUUUUGGGAAGCAAAAAUCAAGAUAACCCGAAAUAUAUGAAGUACAAGCGUUAGACUACAACGAGAUUUACAACACGUAUGGAAAAUUGUACGACGACGCGACGAAGUACGUGUUGUCCCCAACAAAGCUAUCAUAUAGUGGUUUCAACCUGAGUACAGACAGUGACAAAUAGGACGGAGGUGAUAAGUUGCCCAUCAACGUGAAGGGAACCGAUUAUAGUGGAAGUCCAAGCAAAGAAAGAGGAAACUCUUCCAUGAAUAUAUCCAGGAAACGAAGUGGUGAUAAACGAAAAGGCAAACAACGGAGAGAUAAAUAAAAGAGAAAAAGGUACAGUGCGCGAGAUGUUUUUGCAUCACUUGAGCAGAUGGUUAGUGUUAAAACAAUCUUGCCUCAAUUGCGAGAUCAUAUCGUAAUUGAGGAAUGCCGGUCGUCGAGUACGUUGACAAACUUCUAUCAUUUAUGUAUGUGAAAGAGGGUGAUGUGCUUCACCUGUUCGCCCUGUGGUUCUUUCGCGACAAAGAUAAUCACAAUUCAUAUUGUACUGCCAAGACACCAUUUCUGCGCUUCAAGUUUGUGGAGUCUGCUUCAAGCGAGACAAUAUAUCGCUUUAGCGAAAGGGGUGAUUUGUACAGUAUUAGGGUACUGUGAUCAGCAGUUUUCUCUCUCUUUUAUUUAUAUUACCGGUAUACUAGAGCUGUAUCUGAAUUCUCCUGCGAGAAAUUUUUUGUGGCACAUGUGAAACUAGCCUAUUUUCAUGGUUAUGAUUUGUA